UACGGAGGGUGCAAGCGUUAUCCGGAAUCACUGGGUUUAAAGGGUGCGUAGGCGGUUGCGUAAGUCAGUUGUGAAAUUCCCCGGCUUAACCGGUGGGAGUGCGAUUGAUACUGCGUAACUUGAAUAGGGUUGAGGUAGGCGGAAUGCGACAUGUAGCGGUGAAAUGCAUAGAUAUGUCGUAGAACACCGAUUGCGAAGGCAGCUUGCUGGACCUUUAUUGACGCUGAGGCACGAAAGCGUGGGGAGCAAACAGGAUUAGAUACCCUGGUAGUCCACGCCCUAAACGAUGUUUACUUGCUGUUUCGACCUUGAGUUGGAGUGGCGAAGCGAAAGCGAUAAGUAAACCACCUGGGGAGUACGCCGGCAACGGUGAA
This 374-nucleotide ribosomal RNA is filed under the name uncultured bacterium. RNAcentral describes it as "bacterial SSU rRNA". It matches the Rfam family "Bacterial small subunit ribosomal RNA", at positions 524 to 898 of the family's 1533-position model. The record is from RNAcentral.